Molecule: ribosomal RNA, 406 nt
Filed under: uncultured bacterium
Lineage: Bacteria
Description: partial 16S ribosomal RNA
Rfam family: Bacterial small subunit ribosomal RNA
Source: RNAcentral
AUUGAACGCUGGCGGCAGGCCUAACACAUGCAAGUCGAACGAGUGGCGUACGGGUGAGUAAUGUCUGGGAAACUGCCCGAUGGAGGGGGAUAACUACUGGCAACGGUAGCUAAUCCCGCAUACCAUCCGAUGUUCCCAGAUGGGAUUAGCUAGUAGGGGGGGUAACGGCUCACCUAGGCGACGAUCCCUAGCUGGUCUGAGAGGAUGACCGGCGACACUGGAACUAAGACCCGGUCCAGACUCCAUCGGGAGGGAGCACUGGGGAAUAUUGAACAAUGGGCGCAAGCCUGAUGCAGCCAUGACGCGUGUAUGAAGAAGGCCUUCGGGUUGUAAAGUACUUUCAGCGGGGAAGCGUUACUCGCAGAAGAAGCACCGGCUAACUCCGUGCCAGCAGCCGCGGUAAUAC